GCCGCGUCGCGGGCCCGUGCGCGUCCCUCGGGGCUGCGCGCUGUGCCGGGGCCGGCGCUCCGUAGCAGCAGGCCCGUGCGGUGCCGCCGGGCACGUUUCGUUGGGCUGCGUUUAACACCCGCCUCUCUCCUUUCUCGUUGCAGGCCAUGAUACAGCCCUACGGUGCCGUUUGGAGUGGGUGAAGCAAGGGGGGGUGCCUGAAAAUGCCCAGGCGGGCGGCGGUGACCAUCACCGUGGCGACCCUGCUGGGUGUUGCCGUGGGGGGCCUGGUGGCGUGGAGAGCCGCUCGGCGUCGCAGGGGGACAGCAUGCGGUAGCGGUCAGCGAGGAGCAGGAGCGAGAAACUCGGGAGAGGAGAAGCUGGUUGAGGUGGAGGAUAAGGAGGCGCUCGCCUUCUUCGCGUCUCCCACCUUUUCCUGGGUAGAGAGGAUCCUUGGUGCCGACGUAGUGAUAGUUUCAGAGCAGGAGCAGUGGGAUCGUGUUGAACCAUUGCUGAAGAAAGAGCUGGAGAAGUGGCCAGUGCUGGGAAUUGAUUGUGAGUGGGUAUCUGUGGAAGGAAAAGCAAAUCCUGUGUCCCUGCUACAGAUGGCUUCUUCCAGCGGUCUUUGCAUUCUUGUUCGGUUGCCCAGGCUUGUUGCCGGUGGACAGCCUAUCCCAAAGACUCUCUUGGACAUCAUGGCAGAUAGUACUGUUUUGAAAGUUGGGGUAGGAUGCUGGGAAGAUGCUUGCAAGUUACUUCAGGAUUACGGCUUUCCGGUCAAAGGGAGUGUGGAUCUACGAAAUUUAGCCAUGAGACAACAGAAGGAUCUGCUUCACAACUGCCUUAGCCUUAAGUCUUUAGCUGAAAAAGUCCUGAACUACCCACUUGACAAGUCUUCUCACGUGCGUUGCAGCAACUGGGAGGCAGAAGAACUGACACAAGAUCAGGUCCUCUAUGCUGCUAAGGAUGCCCAGGUCUCAGUGGCUCUGUUCCUCCAUUUAUUGGGACUUGCCUUCCUGCCUGCUACAUCUGAAGGUGAAAAAUCUGUUGCUGCUUGGGAAGAAGCACUGCAUAGGUGCCAGGGCUUGGUGGAUAUCCCAUUUAGAGGAAGAAGGAGCGGCAGCGCAGGAGAAGAGAAGAGUGGAGAGGUAGGCUCCCCACAGAAAAUGAAGAAUCGGAAAUCUACCGCGAACAGCCAGCCUUCUGGCAGUCAGCAAGCGAGGGAUCCUCGGAGGCAGAAGCGAAAGCCUCUAGGUGUAGGAUAUUCUGCAAGAAAAUCUCCGCUGUAUGACAACUGUUUCCUGCAUGCACCAGAUGGACAGCCUCUCUGCACCUGUGAUCGCAAGAAGGCUCAGUGGUAUCUGGACAAGGGGAUUGGAGAGUUGGUUAGCACAGACCCAUUUGUUGUGAAGCUGCAGUUUGAGCCUUCAGGACGUCCCGAGUCUCAAGUUGAUUAUUAUCUGACUGUCAAGGAGAACCUGUGUGUUGUGUGCGGCAAGCGAGAGUCCUACAUCCGGAAGAACAUUGUUCCUCACGAAUACCGGAGACACUUUCCCAUCCAGAUGAAGGACCACAACUCCCAUGAUGUGCUCUUGCUCUGCACAUCAUGCCAUGCCAUCUCCAAUUACUAUGACAACCAUCUCAAGCAGCAGCUAGCUGAGGAGUUCAGUGCCCCCAUUGGCUCCGAGGAAGGGGUGCGUCUGCUGGAGGAUCCCCUGCGCAGGCAGGUGCGCUCAGGGGCCCGAGCCUUGCUGAAUGCAGACAGCCUACCUGACCCCCGAAGGGCAGAACUUCUGCAAGGCAUUAAGGACUACUUUAACACAGAGGCAGUGACCCCAGAGAUGCUCCAAGAAGCAGCUGGUCUGGAAACCAGGAUUUGCAAUGAGAACUUUAUGCCACAUGGGCUGAAGGUGGUGCAGUGUUUUGCUAAAGGAGGCCUGCGCUCCCUCAUGCAGUUGGAAAGACGCUGGCGGCAGCAUUUCUUGGACAGCAUGCAGCCCAAAUAUCUCCCAGAGCAGUGGUCAGUGGACCAUAAUCACGGGAAGCUGAUUCGGAAGUAUGGGGAGGAUCUUCAGAUUGAGCUGUCAUGAGACCAGUUUCCUGGAGAGACUCUAGAUGAUGUCUAAUGGACACAUGUAACAGAAGGCUGACCACUGAGCUGUUGUUUUCUGUUUGUUGAAACAAGAAAACGAUGUUGAGACAAGAAUCUAACUGCAAUUCCUCUGAAUAUAAGGAGUCAAUGUAACCUUUGGACUUCACCUUCUGAACUUCUUCCUGUGCCUCCCCUUGUCUGUCUGGCAGU
This is an RNA transcript of Rhea pennata, 2281 nucleotides long. It is a transcript of the gene named exonuclease 3'-5' domain containing 2, with no coding region annotated. The transcript is spliced from 10 exons. The record is from RefSeq and is a predicted model, not a curated record. NCBI's taxonomy places the organism in Eukaryota, Metazoa, Chordata, Aves, Rheiformes, Rheidae.